GUUUAUUUUUUAAAUUAAUCUGUCAUUUUUUGUACGUCUUUUUUCCUUUUUAAAUUUCUUACUACGUGAGAAUUCAUUUUUAAUUCCAAUAAAUCAUACUAAUUAUGAGUGAAAGUGGAAAUAGAAUUAAUCAAUGUUAUAAGGGAAUUCAAAAAUUUUUUAACAAUCAAACUAUUCAAGGACGAGCUAAUGUUUCAUUGGUUACUAUAUUUGCUAUUCUGAUCACAUUGUUGGGAUUCAGAAUUUUAAAGAAAAAACGGGGGUCUACAUAAAGAGAAAAUUUCUUCGUAUAAUACCUAAUAUAUAAUGACAGAAAAGAAAACUACUUUAACAAAAUUUAUCGUACAAAUUGUUGCAAGCGGAGUUGCACUUGGUACUGGGUCAUACUUACUCUUCGAAUCUCUUUUGAAAAGAUAUUUUAUCGAAUGUAAAGCUACAAAAAAGAAAUAAACUAUCUCUCUUU
Molecule: long non-coding RNA, 463 nt
Organism: Diorhabda carinulata
Lineage: Eukaryota; Metazoa; Arthropoda; Insecta; Coleoptera; Chrysomelidae
Exons: 3
Source: RefSeq, a predicted model, not a curated record